GGACAGAAUAGUGGUGAAGGACCGAGUAUACAGAUUAACUCUUGCACUAAUGGAUGGAUGUCACAAGAAAGUCGCUUGUUUACUGGAAUAUUACUGAUAAAUCAACACUGUUUUCACCCACACAGCAUGUAAUGACGCUGCUACAGGUGGUGCAACACUCCUUCACGCACCUCUGCACCCCGCCACGCUCACGCACAGUCAGUGAAUGCGUCACAAAGUGGAAUGAAGGCAAGGAAGAGCACUCGCCUCCUGUGCCCGCGGCCGCCCUCAGUAAUAGGUGCGUCACGUGACCGUGCGCGCGUCGCUGUUCUAAUUAUCGCAGGUGACCACUAAACACAAUGCACUCGUGGUGAUGGGACAGGUAUGCGCACUGAGAUAGAUCGAUGACAAUGUGUGUGUGUGUGUGUGUGUGUGUGUGUUGAUGUGUUGUUUGUUUUACUUCAUGGAUUAAAUAUUAUCGUUGUUUUUGUUAUUAUUAUUCAUUUAUGACUUGUACCGCUCGUUUUCGCCCCCUCGUUAACUCGUCCACUCCUUGGUGUAUCUUCAAUUCCUGGAGCAGUUAACUUUAUAACAACCGUUAAUCAAUAUACGAUCCUUCGGAAUAAGAAUAGACCAAGUACCUUUAUUUGUUGGAUAAGUUUUUAUUACGAAAGCAAUCACAAUUCUUUUAACUGACCGAAAUCUUAGUACACCCUUUUCUGCUCCCUGCCAGAGGUGAGGAUCCUGUAUUAUAUAUCAACGCUUAUUUUCAUUUUUUUUGUCAACCUGAAGUUUAUAUUCUCAUUUUGGCUUUCCGUAUGAUUUCCCCUUCAGACAGUAGUGGGUAUGCGGGCAAAAGUGACACACACCUCUAUAUCUUUCUUUUGUCUGUGUCUGUCUGUCUGUCUGUCAGUCUUUACAACUUUUGAUAAUAAUAAGAGUAAAAAUAAUAAUAAUAGUAAUAAUGAUAAUAAUAAUAAUAAUAGUAAUAAUAAUAAUAAUAAUAGUAAUAAUAAUAAUUUGUAAUCUUGAUAAUGUUUGUCAGUAAUAAAAAGAAUUAUUUGUAA
Scylla paramamosain (green mud crab) is the source of this 1046-nucleotide long non-coding RNA. RefSeq lists it as uncharacterized. NCBI's taxonomy places the organism in Eukaryota, Metazoa, Arthropoda, Malacostraca, Decapoda, Portunidae. The record is from RefSeq and is a predicted model, not a curated record. The transcript is spliced from 2 exons.